RNAcentral lists this transfer RNA (71 nucleotides) under Nothonotus camurus (bluebreast darter). RNAcentral's name for it is "Etheostoma camurum (bluebreast darter) tRNA-Gly". It matches the Rfam family "tRNA". Rfam says of the family: Transfer RNA (tRNA) molecules are approximately 80 nucleotides in length. Their secondary structure includes four short double-helical elements and three loops (D, anti-codon, and T loops). Further hydrogen bonds mediate the characteristic L-shaped molecular structure. tRNAs have two regions of fundamental functional importance: the anti-codon, which is responsible for specific mRNA codon recognition, and the 3' end, to which the tRNAs corresponding amino acid is attached (by aminoacyl-tRNA synthetases). tRNAs cope with the degeneracy of the genetic code in two manners: having more than one tRNA (with a specific anti-codon) for a particular amino acid; and 'wobble' base-pairing, i.e. permitting non-standard base-pairing at the 3rd anti-codon position. The record is from RNAcentral. Lineage: Eukaryota; Metazoa; Chordata; Actinopteri; Perciformes; Percidae.
GUCUUUCUAGUAUCAGGUAAGUAUAAGUGACUUCCAAUCACCCGGUCUUGGUUAAAGUCCAAGGAAAGAUA